This 493-nucleotide ribosomal RNA is filed under the name uncultured bacterium. Its description in RNAcentral is "partial 16S ribosomal RNA". It matches the Rfam family "Bacterial small subunit ribosomal RNA", at positions 29 to 508 of the family's 1533-position model. The record is from RNAcentral.
AGUGAACGCUGGCGGUAGGCCUAACACAUGCAAGUCGAACGGCAGCACAGUAAGAGCCUGCUCUUACGGGUGGCGAGUGGCGGACGGGUGAGGGAUACAUCGGAAUCUACUUUUUCGUGGGGGAUAACGUAGGGAAACUUACGCUAAUACCGCAUACGACCUACGGGUGAAAGCAGGGGAUCUUCGGACCUUGCGCGAUUGAAUGAGCCGAUGUCGGAUUAGCUAGUUGGCGGGGUAAAGGCCCACCAAGGCGACGAUCCGUAGCUGGUCUGAGAGGAUGAUCAGCCACACUGGAACUGAGACACGGUCCAGACUCCUACGGGAGGCAGCAGUGGGGAAUAUUGGACAAUGGGCGCAAGCCUGAUCCAGCCAUACCGCGUGGGUGAAGAAGGCCUUCGGGUUGUAAAGCCCUUUUGUUGGGAAAGAAAAGCAGCAGGUUAAUACCCCGCUGUUCUGACGGUACCCAAAGAAUAAGCACCGGCUAACUUCGUGC